RNAcentral lists this long non-coding RNA (866 nucleotides) under Gossypium barbadense (sea-island cotton). RNAcentral describes it as "long non-coding RNA (GBAR_LNC021959)". The stretch from base 117 to 189 matches the Rfam family "tRNA". The record is from RNAcentral. Lineage: Eukaryota; Viridiplantae; Streptophyta; Magnoliopsida; Malvales; Malvaceae.
UCUUUUCAGAAGGUUUGCCUUAAAUGACUAGAUAACAAUCAAACAGAACUAGUCCUCCUGCUUUUGGAUGCAAAGAGUUUUAUUCUACUUAUAUUUGAUUGAAGCCCUGUAACAAAGGGGAUGUAGCUCAGAUGGUAGAGCGCUCGCUUAGCAUGCGAGAGGUACGGGGAUCGAUACCCCGCAUCUCCAAAUCUUUUUAAUUUUUUUUUUUGGAUUUCUUGCUUCCAUGACCCGAUUCCCAAACCCUCUUUCCUUGCUCAGAAAUGGGAUUUCAUUCCUUAUUCUAUAGUUUUUUAUUUUAUGACUCUUGUAACAGUUUCCUCAAAAUAUAACUUUGUUAUGGUGCCUUACUUGGAGCCAGCUCCAAGCACAUUUUAAUUUUAUUUUAUGAUUCUUGUAACAGUUGCCUCAAAAUAUAUAAUUUUGUUAUUGUGUGUUUACUUGCAGGCAGCUGCAAGGGUAAUGAGAAAAUUUUGCAAAUCAAACCAACUGACAUGGUGAUCGCUGAAUAUGUAAAUAUAUGCGAGAGUGGCUGGUAUUGCUGAUCAGCAACAGUCUAUUUUCGUAGUUUUUGCGAGAUAGCUUCUCUGUUAAUGUCCCUGGGGAGGGGAUUACUGCAAAUGAAAUGAUGUGAUUGACAUGAAUGGAAUUGCUGCUGCUCCCCAUGUGACUUCUCAGAUUGUAAUGGAGAUGGACUCCUCCAGGCUACCUUUCUGCAACUAUAUGACUGGGUUCUGCUUAAGACAGGGAAUAAUGGGUUUUGAUGUGUGCCUGUUUAGUUCUUGCUGCCUUUGCUCUUGUAGUUGUGGUUGUCAUCCAUGACCAAGAACAUGAUUUGUUAAAAACUAACAAAAAAUAUGAUACUG